RNAcentral lists this ribosomal RNA (539 nucleotides) under uncultured Roseateles sp. RNAcentral describes it as "bacterial SSU rRNA". It matches the Rfam family "Bacterial small subunit ribosomal RNA", at positions 978 to 1521 of the family's 1533-position model. Lineage: Bacteria; Pseudomonadati; Pseudomonadota; Betaproteobacteria; Burkholderiales; Sphaerotilaceae. The record is from RNAcentral.
CCCUUGACAUGCCAGGAAUCUUGCAGAGAUGUGAGAGUGCUCGAAAGAGAACCUGGACACAGGUGCUGCAUGGCCGUCGUCAGCUCGUGUCGUGAGAUGUUGGGUUAAGUCCCGCAACGAGCGCAACCCUUGUCAUUAGUUGCUACGAAAGGGCACUCUAAUGAGACUGCCGGUGACAAACCGGAGGAAGGUGGGGAUGACGUCAGGUCAUCAUGGCCCUUAUGGGUAGGGCUACACACGUCAUACAAUGGCCGGGACAGAGGGCUGCCAACCCGCGAGGGGGAGCUAAUCCCAGAAACCCGGUUGUAGCCCGGAUCGCAGUCUGCAACUCGACUGCGUGAAGUCGGAAUCGCUAGUAAUCGCGGAUCAGCUUGCCGCGGUGAAUACGUUCCCGGGUCUUGUACACACCGCCCGUCACACCAUGGGAGCGGGUUCUGCCAGAAGUAGUUAGCCUAACCGCAAGGAGGGCGAUUACCACGGCAGGGUUCGUGACUGGGGUGAAGUCGUAACAAGGUAGCCGUAUCGGAAGGUGCGGCUGG